UACGUAGGGGGCAAGCGUUAUCCGGAUUUACUGGGUGUAAAGGGAGCGUAGACGGCGAUGCAAGCCAGAUGUGAAAGCCCGGGGCUCAACCCCGGGACUGCAUUUGGAACUGUGUGGCUGUAGUGUCGGAGAGGCAAGUGGAAUUCCUAGUGUAGCGGUGAAAUGCGUAGAUAUUAGGAGGAACACCAGUGGCGAAGGCGGCUUGCUGGACGAUGACUGACGUUGAGGCUCGAAAGCGUGGGGAGCAAACAGG
This 253-nucleotide ribosomal RNA is filed under the name uncultured bacterium. Its description in RNAcentral is "partial 16S ribosomal RNA". It matches the Rfam family "Bacterial small subunit ribosomal RNA", at positions 524 to 776 of the family's 1533-position model. The record is from RNAcentral.